GUGAGUAGUUCAGAGUUUGAUCCUGGCUCAGGACGAACGCUGGCGGCGUGCCUAACACAUGCAAGUCGAACGGGGUAAGAAACUUCGGUUUUUUACUUAGUGGCGAACGGGUGAGUAACGCGUGAGAAACCUACCUUUCAGUGGGGGACAACAGUUGGAAACGACUGCUAAUACCGCAUAAUGUCAUUUGGGGGCAUCCCCGAAUGACCAAAGCUUUAUGUGCUGAAAGAUGGUCUCGCGUCUGAUUAGCUAGAUGGCGGGGUAACGGCCCACCAUGGCGACGAUCAGUAGCCGGUCUGAGAGGAUGAACGGCCACAUUGGGACUGAGAUACGGCCCAG
This 339-nucleotide ribosomal RNA is filed under the name uncultured bacterium. RNAcentral describes it as "bacterial SSU rRNA". It matches the Rfam family "Bacterial small subunit ribosomal RNA", at positions 1 to 334 of the family's 1533-position model. The record is from RNAcentral.